This 406-nucleotide ribosomal RNA is filed under the name uncultured bacterium. RNAcentral describes it as "partial 16S ribosomal RNA". It matches the Rfam family "Bacterial small subunit ribosomal RNA", at positions 29 to 526 of the family's 1533-position model. The record is from RNAcentral.
AUUGAACGCUGACGGCAGGCCUAACACAUGCAAGUCGAACGAGUGGCGGAAGGGUGAGUAAUGUCUGGGAAACUGCCUGAUGGAGGGGGAUAACUACUGGAAACGUUAGCUAAUACCGCAUACCAUCGGAUGUUCCCAGAUGGGAUUAGCGAGUGGGUGGGGUAACGGCUCACCUAGGCGACGAUACCGAGCUGGUCGGAGAGGAUGACUAGCCAGACUGGAACGGAGAAAGGGCACAGACUCCCACGGGAGGCAGCAGUGGGGAUAAGUGCACCAUGGGCGAAAGCUUGAGACAGACAUGCCGCGUGUAUGAAGCAGGACUUCUGUGUGUAAAGUACUGUUAGCGGGGAGGCGUUACCAGCAGAAGAAGCAACGGCUAACUCCGUGCCAGCAGCCGCGGUAAUUC